AUUAGGAAUCUUGCACAAUGGGGGAAACCCUGAUGCAGCGACGCCGCGUGAAGGAUGAAGGGUCUCGGCCUGUAAACUUCUUUUGACAGGGAAGAAAAAAAUGACGGUACCUGUCGAAUAAGCCCCGGCUAACUACGUGCCAGCAGCCGCGGUAAUACGUAGGGGGCGAGCGUUGUCCGAAUUUACUGGGCGUAAAGCGCGCGUAGGCGGUUUCUUAAGUCUGGGGUGAAAGGUUCAACGCUCAACGUGAACAGUGCCUUGGAUACUGGGAGACUUGAGUCUGGGAGGGGGUAGUGGAAUUCCUGGUGUAGCGGUGAAAUGCGUAGAUAUCAGGAGGAACACCGGUGGCGAAGGCGGCUACCUGGCCUAAGACUGACGCUGAGGUGCGAAAGCGUGGGGAGCGAACGG
This 408-nucleotide ribosomal RNA is filed under the name uncultured bacterium. RNAcentral describes it as "bacterial SSU rRNA". It matches the Rfam family "Bacterial small subunit ribosomal RNA", at positions 354 to 775 of the family's 1533-position model. The record is from RNAcentral.